CAAAAAGUAGAGCGGGAGGAUGAGAGAGCACUGGCACUGGCAAUGCACAGGGAUUAGCCAAUUUAAGAUAAAUUUAUUAAGACUCUAAUAUCCACGCUGUCUUCUCCCGAAAAUGAAUCGUCGACAUACAUACAUACAUAAAUAUCCCCUCGAAAAACUUCAACACCAAGUGGAAUUGACGCUCCCUCGUCAAUUGCUAAAUGAUGCAUGGCACAAAUUGCCAAAAACGCAGCGGGACCGAGUUGCAUGUUUGAACCGAAACUGCAAAGUGGGGUUACUACAACGUUUAAUUAAUAUAUAUGACAAUCUGGAAAGACGUCAUAACUUGCUUCCCCUUUGCCUUAAAUAUUUUUCUCCAAUAUCACUGAUGGGUCUGUUUAUGGUACCCCAUUGAAUUGUCAAGGACUUCAAAAGAAUUAGGUUUUUCAAACACACAUCUGCAGCUAUCGAUGUCAAAGUAUGGACAAAUGAUCUGUUUAAGUCAGUUCUUAAAGGAGUAUUUUGGUCAUUUUUAUAAGUGGAAAUCAAUCUAAUAAAUAAAUAUUAAGUCAGAAUACAAUUUUAUAAUAAUUUUCGACUGUAGAGCAUUUUAAUGAGCUGGAUUUUAAGUUACUAAAA
Long non-coding RNA from Drosophila gunungcola (fruit fly), 618 nucleotides. RefSeq lists it as uncharacterized. The record is from RefSeq and is a predicted model, not a curated record. Lineage: Eukaryota; Metazoa; Arthropoda; Insecta; Diptera; Drosophilidae. The transcript is spliced from 3 exons.